This 258-nucleotide ribosomal RNA is filed under the name Salmonella enterica subsp. enterica serovar Oranienburg. RNAcentral's name for it is "partial 16S ribosomal RNA". It matches the Rfam family "Bacterial small subunit ribosomal RNA", at positions 997 to 1255 of the family's 1533-position model. The record is from RNAcentral. Lineage: Bacteria; Pseudomonadati; Pseudomonadota; Gammaproteobacteria; Enterobacterales; Enterobacteriaceae.
UUUUCAGAGAUGAGAAUGUGCCUUCGGGAACCGUGAGACAGGUGCUGCAUGGCUGUCGUCAGCUCGUGUUGUGAAAUGUUGGGUUAAGUCCCGCAACGAGCGCAACCCUUAUCCUUUGUUGCCAGCGAUUCGGUCGGGAACUCAAAGGAGACUGCCAGUGAUAAACUGGAGGAAGGUGGGGAUGACGUCAAGUCAUCAUGGCCCUUACGACCAGGGCUACACCCGUUCUACAAAGGCGCAUACAAAGAGAAGCGACCU